RNAcentral lists this ribosomal RNA (374 nucleotides) under uncultured organism. RNAcentral describes it as "partial 16S ribosomal RNA". It matches the Rfam family "Bacterial small subunit ribosomal RNA", at positions 527 to 896 of the family's 1533-position model. The record is from RNAcentral.
GUAGGUGGCAAGCGUUGUCCGGAAUUAUUGGGGCGUAAAGCGCGCGCAGGCGGUUCUUUAAGUCUGAUGCGAAAGCCCACGGGCUCAACCGUGGAGGGUCAUUGGAAACUGGAGAACUUGAGUACAGAAGAGGAAAGCGGAAUUCCACGUGUAGCGGUGAAAUGCGUAGAGAUGUGGAGGAACACCAGUGGCGAAGGCGGCUUUCUGGUCUGUAACUGACGCUGAGGCGCGAAAGCGUGGGGAGCAAACAGGAUUAGAUACCCUGGUAGUCCACGCCGUAAACGAUGAGUGCUAAGUGUUAGGGGGUUUCCGCCCCUUAGUGCUGCAGCUAACGCAUUAAGCACUCCGCCUGGGGAGUACGGCCGCAAAGGCUG